RNAcentral lists this ribosomal RNA (211 nucleotides) under Vibrio cholerae O1. Its description in RNAcentral is "partial 16S ribosomal RNA". It matches the Rfam family "Bacterial small subunit ribosomal RNA", at positions 202 to 416 of the family's 1533-position model. Lineage: Bacteria; Pseudomonadati; Pseudomonadota; Gammaproteobacteria; Vibrionales; Vibrionaceae. The record is from RNAcentral.
AGGAACAAUCAGCUAUGAGAUGGACCCGCGGCGCAUAGGCUAGUUGGUGGGGGAACGGCCUACCAAGGCGACGAUGCGUAGCCGACCUGAGAGGGUGAUCGGCCACAUUGGGACUGAGACACGGCCCAAACUCCUACGGGAGGCAGCAGUAGGGAAUCUUCGGCAAUGGACGAAAGUCUGACCGAGCCACGCCGCGUGAGCGCAAAAGGCU